This 207-nucleotide ribosomal RNA is filed under the name uncultured bacterium. RNAcentral's name for it is "partial 16S ribosomal RNA". It matches the Rfam family "Bacterial small subunit ribosomal RNA", at positions 568 to 774 of the family's 1533-position model. The record is from RNAcentral.
CGUGCAGGCGGUUUCUUAAGUCGGACGUGAAAGCUCUCGGCUCAACUGGGAGAGGUCGUUCGAAACUAGGGAACUUGAGGGUGGUAGAGGAGAGUGGAAUUCCCGGUGUAGUGGUGAAAUGCGUAGAUAUCGGGAGGAACACCAGUGGCGAAGGCGGCUCUCUGGGCCAUUCCUGACGCUAAGACGCGAAAGCUAGGGGAGAGAACG